AUCCUCAUAAAGCAAACGACUCACUUCAGAAGACUUGGAAUAGAGUAUAUGAAUCGUCUGGACUACUCUGAUUUUGUUUUUGGAGCUUGACACUUACAACGAUCAUCCAUAAAACCUCAUCGGGUUAGAGCGACAUCAAGGCGGCGUAAGCUGGCUUCACUUUCAGCAUAAUGCAUAGGAUCCCUAACAACAACAUGACUCUGGAUAGCAGUGGCCACAACACACUUUUAGACCUGUUUUAAUGGCACGAGAGUACAGAUCGAGCAGAUGAAAGACUCAGCAACACAUUUUCCAGCCUAACAGCAAACUCAAGAGGCCUACAAUGUGCAGGAAGUGCCGGAAGCAAGUGUCUCGCGACUUGUUUGAUAGAAAAUGUCUUUAGACUGCCCAACAGAAGCAGAGUUCAGGGACAUAGACAGCAGAAGAAAAUAAAUUUACACAGGUUUGGAACAACUUAAGGGUUAUUGGAUGCUUCGUUUAGAUCAGUGGUUCUCAAACCUGUCCUGGGGACCCCCCACCACUGCACAUUUUGCAUGUCUCCCUCAUCUAACACACCCAAUUCAACUCUUGCAGUCUCUACUAAUUAGCUGAUGACUUGAAUCAGGUGUGUUAGAUGAUGGGGGGUCCCCAGGACAGGUUUGAGAACCACUGGUUUAGAUGAACAUCACUGGGAUGCAUAUGCUGUUGUAAUUCCCUAUACCUCUUCAUGAGUUUUCUGUCAACACUCAAAAAUACAUCAACUGCACGCCACCCAGUGGUGUAAUGGUGUAAUGGUAAGGAGUGAAUAAAUCUGUGAACUAUUUUGAACAAAUCUUUUUAGUGAAUACAACAAGAGAAUGAUUCAAGUAAAAUGAAUCAAAAUCAACAUCACUAAUAUUUUAGCAUGCAGUGCUUAUGUGAACCAAAACAAAUUACUUGUGUAUGUGAGCAUACUUGGCCAAUAAAACUUUUUUUCUGAUUGUA
Molecule: long non-coding RNA, 963 nt
Organism: Megalobrama amblycephala (Wuchang bream)
Lineage: Eukaryota; Metazoa; Chordata; Actinopteri; Cypriniformes; Xenocyprididae
Exons: 5
Source: RefSeq, a predicted model, not a curated record